RNAcentral lists this ribosomal RNA (497 nucleotides) under uncultured bacterium. RNAcentral describes it as "partial 16S ribosomal RNA". It matches the Rfam family "Bacterial small subunit ribosomal RNA", at positions 28 to 507 of the family's 1533-position model. The record is from RNAcentral.
GAUGAACGCUGGCGGCGUGCCUAAUACAUGCAAGUCGAGCGAACAGACGAGGAGCUUGCUCCUCUGACGUUAGCGGCGGACGGGUGAGUAACACGUGGAUAACCUACCUAUAAGACUGGGAUAACUUCGGGAAACCGGAGCUAAUACCGGAUAAUAUAUUGAACCGCAUGGUUCAAUAGUGAAAGACGGUUUUGCUGUCACUUAUAGAUGGAUCCGCGCCGCAUUAGCUAGUUGGUAAGGUAACGGCUUACCAAGGCAACGAUGCGUAGCCGACCUGAGAGGGUGAUAGCCCACACUGGAACUGAGACACGGUCCAGACUCCUACGGGAGGCAGCAGUAGGGAAUCUUCCGCAAUGGGCGAAAGCUUGACGGAGCAACGCCGAGUGAGUGAUGAAAGUCUUCGGAUCGUAAAACUCUGUUAUUAGGGAAGAACAAAUGUGUAAGUAACUAUGCACGUCUUGACGGUACCUAAUCAGAAAGCAACGGCUAACUACGUG